GACGAACGCUGGCGGCGUGCUUAACACAUGCAAGUCGAACGGAAAGGCCCUGCUUGCAGGGUACUCGAGUGGCGAACGGGUGAGUAACACGUGGGUGAUCUGCCCUGCACUUCGGGAUAAGCCUGGGAAACUGGGUCUAAUACCGGAUAGGAGCCAUUUUUAGUGUGAUGGUUGGAAAGUUUUUUCGGUGUAGGAUGAGCCCGCGGCCUAUCAGCUUGUUGGUGGGGUAAUGGCCUACCAAGGCGGCGACGGGUAGCCGGCCUGAGAGGGUGGACGGCCACAGUGGGACUGAGAUACGGCCCAGACUCCUACGGGAGGCAGCAGUGGGGAAGAUUGCACAAUGGGCGCAAGCCUGAUGCAGCGACGCCGCGGGGGGGAUGACGGCCUUCGGGUUGUAAACGCCUUUCGCUAGGGACGAAGCUUUUUGUGACGGUACCUAGAUAAGAAGCACCGGCUAACUACGUG
Molecule: ribosomal RNA, 465 nt
Filed under: uncultured bacterium
Lineage: Bacteria
Description: partial 16S ribosomal RNA
Rfam family: Bacterial small subunit ribosomal RNA
Source: RNAcentral